RNAcentral lists this ribosomal RNA (497 nucleotides) under uncultured bacterium. RNAcentral describes it as "partial 16S ribosomal RNA". It matches the Rfam family "Bacterial small subunit ribosomal RNA", at positions 28 to 507 of the family's 1533-position model. The record is from RNAcentral.
GAUGAACGCUGGCGGCGUGCCUAAUACAUGCAAGUAGAACGCUGAAGGAAGGAGCUUGCUCCUUCCGGAUGAGUUGCGAACGGGUGAGUAACGCGUAGGUAACCUGCCUGGUAGCGGGGGAUAACUAUUGGAAACGAUAGCUAAUACCGCAUAACAGUAGAUGUUGCAUGAUAUCUACUUAAAAGGUGCAAUUGCACCACUACCAGAUGGACCUGCGUUGUAUUAGCUAGUUGGUGAGGUAACGGCUCACCAAGGCGACGAUACAUAGCCGACCUGAGAGGGUGAUCGGCCACACUGGGACUGGGACACGGCCCAGACUCCUACGGGAGGCAGCAGUAGGGAAUCUUCGGCAAUGGACGGAAGUCUGACCGAGCAACGCCGCGUGAGUGAAGAAGGUUUUCGGAUCGUAAAGCUCUGUUGUAAGAGAAGAACGAGUGUGAGAGUGGAAAGUUCACACUGUGACGGUAUCUUACCAGAAAGGGACGGCUAACUACGUG